GAAAACUCCACAGUGUGUUGUAUUGAAACGGUUUUAAUUGUCCUAUAACAAAAGCACAGAAAUCUCUCACCGUUUGGAAUAGCAAGAAAGAAACUUACAAGCCUAGCAAGACCGCGCACUUAAGCGCAGGCCCGGCUGGACUCUCCAUCUCUUGUCUUCUUGCCCAGUAAAAGCUCUCAUGCUCUUGCCAAAACAAAAAAAAAAAA
Molecule: unclassified non-coding RNA, 206 nt
Filed under: uncultured Saccharomyces
Lineage: Eukaryota; Fungi; Ascomycota; Saccharomycetes; Saccharomycetales; Saccharomycetaceae
Description: sequence contains ITS1
Source: RNAcentral